UCAGAUUAUCAUCAAUUGUGUGUGUGGCC
RNAcentral lists this non-coding RNA (29 nucleotides) under Homo sapiens (human). Lineage: Eukaryota; Metazoa; Chordata; Mammalia; Primates; Hominidae. The record is from RNAcentral.